UUGGUAAUUGGUUAUAUAAGCCUUUAUAUUUUGUUGUUGUUCUGUUGAACAACAACAAAAUAUAGACUUUUAUAACCAAUUAGCAA
This 86-nucleotide microRNA precursor is filed under the name Olea europaea subsp. europaea. The record is from RNAcentral. Lineage: Eukaryota; Viridiplantae; Streptophyta; Magnoliopsida; Lamiales; Oleaceae.